CGGAGGAGUAACCUGCCGGUGUGGGACUUCUCGGGCUGCGGCCACGACUUCAUUCCUUCUUACUGCUGAGCAAUAUUCCAUUGCAAGAAGUUUCUUAUGGUCAAGCCCCAUGAUCAAGUCCUUGGCCUGUUAAAUUGGUAGUCCCCAAUGCUUGCAAGAAUAUCAGGAAUUCCCUAGGCCAAGAAACUUCAGGAAUGAAGGUUUGAGUCACCACACCAGGUAAAGAAACAUGGCCAGCUGAAGUGCUUGCUGAGAGCCAAGGGAACAUGGAAUGGGUAGUGGAAGAAAGUAGUGAUUUAUAUGAACUCUGACCACGUGACCAGUUAUGGAAACAAGGACUAUGAUGGCAUGAAUAUUUCCUUCUUGUUUUGUUAUGAGUGUUUGUAUUUGUCUGUAAAGCAAAUGUCUUUGUUUUCUUCUCUACCUUAUCCCCUUAUAUGACAUAAGCUGUAUUUUUCAUUUCACAGUGUUUAAGUUAAAGGAAAUCAAUUUUAAGAGUUAAUGUCUCCUAUUCUGGAGAGAUUUAGUGCAUUUCUGGUUCUUCACAGGACAGUGGAGAUUUGCUAGGCAAAACAUAUGUCUCUUAUUGCUCUUUACUUAAAGAUAAAGUAUGGUUUUAAGAGAUACUUACAACUGCCAAGUUGAGAAGGGGUGGACUGUGAUGGUUAGGUUCAUGUGUCAACUUGGCCAUGUGAUGGUG
Molecule: long non-coding RNA, 700 nt
Organism: Choloepus didactylus (southern two-toed sloth)
Lineage: Eukaryota; Metazoa; Chordata; Mammalia; Pilosa; Megalonychidae
Exons: 3
Source: RefSeq, a predicted model, not a curated record